RNAcentral lists this ribosomal RNA (253 nucleotides) under uncultured bacterium. Its description in RNAcentral is "partial 16S ribosomal RNA". It matches the Rfam family "Bacterial small subunit ribosomal RNA", at positions 524 to 776 of the family's 1533-position model. The record is from RNAcentral.
UACGGAGGGGACUAGCGUUGUUCGGAAUUACUGGGCGUAAAGCGCACGUAGGCGGAUUUGUAAGUCAGGGGUGAAAUCCCGAGGCUCAACCUCGGAACUGCCUUUGAUACUGCAAAUCUCGAGUCCGGAAGAGGUGAGUGGAAUUCCUAGUGUAGAGGUGGAAUGCGCAGAUAUCAGGAGGAACACCGAUGGCGAAGGCGGGUCUCUGGGCCGAUACUGACGCUGAGGAGCGAAAGCGUGGGGAGCGAACAGG